GCCGGGUGCCGACUCCUGUAUAGCGACCUGAGACCUCUGGGUUCUGAGAUGGGGUGUCUGGGGUCUCUGGGUACU
Molecule: microRNA precursor, 75 nt
Filed under: Pteropus vampyrus (large flying fox)
Lineage: Eukaryota; Metazoa; Chordata; Mammalia; Chiroptera; Pteropodidae
Description: miRNA (ENSPVAG00000028066.1)
Source: RNAcentral